RNAcentral lists this ribosomal RNA (255 nucleotides) under uncultured bacterium. RNAcentral describes it as "partial 16S ribosomal RNA". It matches the Rfam family "Bacterial small subunit ribosomal RNA", at positions 524 to 777 of the family's 1533-position model. The record is from RNAcentral.
UACGUAGGGUGCAAGCGUUAAUCGGAAUUACUGGGCGUAAAGCGUGCGCAGGCGGUUUUGUAAGUCAGAUGUGAAAUCCCCGGGCUUAACCUGGGAACUGCGUUUGAAACUACAAGGCUAGAGUGUGGCAGAGGGGGGUGGAAUUCCACGUGUAGCAGUGAAAUGCGUAGAGAUGUGGAGGAACACCGAUGGCGAAGGCAGCCCCCUGGGUUAACACUGACGCCUCAGGCGCGAAAGCGUGGGGAGCAAACAGGG